AGCAGCCGCGGUAAUUCCAGCUCCAAUAGCGUAUAUUAAAGUUGUUGCAGUUAAAAAGCUCGUAGUUGAACUUCAGGCCUGGCUGGAUGGUCCGCCUUCUGGGUGAGUACUGUCUGUGGUCGGGUCCUACCUUCUGGCGAAGCGUCAUGGCCUUAACCGGCCGUGGCGGGGAGCCAGGACUUUUACUGUGAAAAAAUUAGAGUGUUCAAAGCAGGCACGCGCCUUGAAUACAUUAGCAUGGAAUAAUGGAAUAGGACAGUGGUUCUAUUUGUUGGUUUCUAGGACCGUUGUAA
Molecule: ribosomal RNA, 293 nt
Filed under: uncultured Paraglomeraceae
Lineage: Eukaryota; Fungi; Glomeromycota; Glomeromycetes; Paraglomerales
Description: partial small subunit ribosomal RNA
Rfam family: Eukaryotic small subunit ribosomal RNA
Source: RNAcentral